UCAGAACCCAGGCAAACUUAGGGCACAUGAAGAAGGGUCUGAUGGGCUGCACCUGAGGAGCAGACUCCUGGGGAGCGAAGGCAAGGUGGGGCUGGUGAGGGAGCCGCCUCUUCCCCGGGACUAGAGAUGCGGUCACCGAGAGGGUGAAGUUCUCCUCAGCAUCACACAGUGGACUGAUAGGCAGAUUCUGAGAGUGCUGUAGGUACCAUAGCCCAUCACCAAGGCAACUGGGACACAGACCAGGGCAAAGCUGCACUGCUUUUGGCCACAGAGUCAUUAUCCUGUGCAAUCCUCUCUAGAAAGGACGUCAUUCCCCGGGAAUCAGCAGAGCAGAGGAGCAGGGACAUGCUCCAGUCACAGGGCUUGGAGAGUGGUCCUGCUCAACAUGCGCUAGUCAUCACUCUUCCGAGGUCAUGGCCUUAAGCUCCACUUACAGGCAGAAACGACUGAGAGUGACCAGACCUUCCUCAUCAUGGGACACACACAGUCCAGUUCCACAGAACUGGCUAGCUUCAAGGUUGGUGCCUGGUAACUGUAGAAUGAACAGCGCAGACUCAACAAGAGCAGAGGCGUCAGAGCAGAGCACAUAAGGUGAGGGAAGACCUGGGUUUUUAAAAUCAGACUUGGAUUUUAACGAGGAGUGGACCAGCGGAAGACACACAGUGAAGCAGAGCUGCAGACUUCCCAGCGUGCACCCAUUCAGGAGAUCUGCCAGGGUCCGCUGACAGGCACUGACACCUAAGUUGGGCCACAUCUGUGCACACAGCCUCACGCAGAGGGCUCCCUGAGACCUGUCUCAGGGACGGGAGUGGUGGUGCCAGGUGUGCAUUUUGGUCGUCAGCCCUGUUUCUAUCACAAGCCACGAGCACACACUCAAUUCAGGAAGCUUCCUUGUGACCUGGUUGGCGUGUGGGUGCACAGGAGCCAUCCCACCCUCACCAUGAUGGAGAUGGGCUUUCAAACAACACAGGAAAGACAAAUCUUGGACCUUUCUGGAAGGUAUCAGGGCAGUGAGUGCAAAUGAG
This 1025-nucleotide long non-coding RNA is filed under the name Marmota monax (woodchuck). The record is from RNAcentral. Lineage: Eukaryota; Metazoa; Chordata; Mammalia; Rodentia; Sciuridae.